Triticum aestivum (bread wheat) is the source of this 1076-nucleotide long non-coding RNA. RefSeq lists it as uncharacterized. The record is from RefSeq and is a predicted model, not a curated record. Lineage: Eukaryota; Viridiplantae; Streptophyta; Magnoliopsida; Poales; Poaceae. The transcript has 4 exons.
UUCCUCUGUCCGAAAAUGCUUGUCCCAAACUUGUCUCUCAAAUGGAUGUAUCUAGCACUAACUUGGCGCUAGAUACAUUCAUUUGAGGGACAAGCUUUUUCGGAUGGACGGAGUAUGUUUUAGGCAACUUACAUGUUAAGUUUAAGCAAAGGAUGAAAAUGAUGUGUAACAAAACUGGUUGCAAGAAGACAAUGGUAGGCAAAGCUUGAGCACACACCCUUACGAGCCGUCCGAUCGGGAUCCCGAUCGCCAGGUGUUCCGUGGUCGCGUUUUAUGGAGUGAAGGGAAACACGAACGAACAACACACAGCGGCAGUGGGCCCCAACCAAACGCACACUCCCACAUCCACAAGCGCAUGCAUGUUUCUUCUCCCAAAUCCACUGCUCCGUUCGUCGAUCCGCGGAGCCGGCCGCGCCGCACUCCGCGAGCGCCUGCUCGUCUCCCAGCCGGCGUCGGGGGACAAGGUGACAGAUCCACAUGCUUCUCCCCCGCCCCUGAUUUUCGCUCGCCGAAUCCGUCGGCUCGUUGCUGUCGUCGUCUUCGCGGUCGCCGCGAUGCUUUACUCCGGCGACUUCCUCCCAGCCUCCCGCGACAAGGCUGUGUCCGUGUUGGCCGCCUUCGCGUCCUCCGAAGGCGAGCACGCACCCAUCUCCACGAGGAAGGCGAGCGCCCACCACCCCCACACUCCUUAUUCAGUGGCGCUGGCACCGACGUCGUUGUAGCGGGCCUCUUCCUCUCAAGCAUCUCACCGCAGGCCACAUCGGGGAUGGCCUCGACCUCCUGCUGCUAGCUACUGGUGCUGGCUGUAGCUUGAACUGGAGGUCUGGAGCAGAAAAAUUGCACCGAGGUAGCAGGUGGAUGAUGGUGUUGGUGCCUUUCUCUUGAAUUGUUGCUGGUGAUGGCUGCAAUUUGAAUGAGCGCCUCAUGUCAACGACAACACAUGCCUCAGAUGAUUUUGUCCAUGAUGAUCUGGUAGGAACUAAUGGAUGAACCAAGCAAAAAGGGCAUUCAAGAAGAUCAUCAUGCAGUUAAUCGUGAUGCUGAUCCCUUGCAUGCGAUUGAAGAUCAUCACGAGG